This 209-nucleotide microRNA precursor is filed under the name Oryza nivara. RNAcentral's name for it is "MIR812 microRNA precursor family". It matches the Rfam family "MIR812 microRNA precursor family". Lineage: Eukaryota; Viridiplantae; Streptophyta; Magnoliopsida; Poales; Poaceae. The record is from Rfam by way of RNAcentral.
AAUAAGUGCAGUUUUGCACUAUUCACGUUCAACGUUUGACCGUCCGUCUUAUUUGAAAAAUUUGUGAAAAAAUUAAAAACAUUUAGUCACACAUAAAGUACUAUUCAUGUUUUAUCAUCUAAUAGCAAUAAAAAUAAUAAUCAUAAAAAAUUUUCAAAUAAGACGGACGGUCAAACGUUGAACAUGAAUAGUGCAAAACUGCACUUAUU